UCACUAUCCCCUAUGCAAUAUUGUAUAAAUUACUAAAAUGCCUUUAUGCACAAGAGUGAGCUUAGAGUUAAUCCAACCAUUAUAAAUCGUGCCACCAUGGUAUAUGAGCUUAGAGUAGGGACCAUUGGGAUUUUAGACCUUCCAUUUUGUCUUCUUAGCACAUAUGUAAAUUUUCCAAUGAAAGAUGCAAGGGAGGGGUGAAUAGAC
Molecule: long non-coding RNA, 207 nt
Filed under: Vitis vinifera (wine grape)
Lineage: Eukaryota; Viridiplantae; Streptophyta; Magnoliopsida; Vitales; Vitaceae
Description: long non-coding RNA (VVIN_LNC003307)
Source: RNAcentral